RNAcentral lists this ribosomal RNA (292 nucleotides) under uncultured eukaryote. RNAcentral describes it as "partial 18S ribosomal RNA". It matches the Rfam family "Eukaryotic small subunit ribosomal RNA", at positions 6 to 295 of the family's 1831-position model. The record is from RNAcentral.
GGUUGAUCCUGCCAGUAGUCAUAUGCUUGUCUCAAAGAUUAAGCCAUGCAUGUCUAAGUAUAGCUGUAUACUGUGAAACUGCGAAUGGCUCAUUAAAUCAGUUAUAAUUUAUUUGAUGGUACCUACUACUCGGAUAACCGUAGUAAUUCUAGAGCUAAUACGUGCGUAAAUCCCGACUUCUGGAAGGGACGUAUUUAUUAGAUAAAAGACCAGCCGGACUUGGCAUUUAUGUCUCGUCUGUCUCUCGGUGACUCAUGAUAACUUUGCGAAUCGCUGAUCUUCAGCGAUGUUU